RNAcentral lists this transfer RNA (50 nucleotides) under Pulchrana siberu (Siberut Island frog). Its description in RNAcentral is "partial tRNA-Val". Lineage: Eukaryota; Metazoa; Chordata; Amphibia; Anura; Ranidae. The record is from RNAcentral.
GCCUCUCGCUUACACCGAGUCAAUGUCUGUUUGACCCAGACCAUUUUGAG